RNAcentral lists this ribosomal RNA (496 nucleotides) under uncultured bacterium. RNAcentral's name for it is "partial 16S ribosomal RNA". It matches the Rfam family "Bacterial small subunit ribosomal RNA", at positions 29 to 507 of the family's 1533-position model. The record is from RNAcentral.
AUGAACGCUGGCGGCGUGCCUCAUACCUGCAAGUCGCGCGAACAGACGAGGAGCUUGCUCCUCUGACGUUAGCGGCGGACGGGUGAGUAACACGUGGAUAACCUACCUAUAAGACUGGGAUAACUUCGGGAAACCGGAGCUAAUACCGGAUAAUAUAUUGAACCGCAUGGUUCAAUAGUGAAAGACGGUUUUGCUGUCACUUAUAGAUGGAUCCGCGCCGCAUUAGCUAGUUGGUAAGGUAACGGCUUACCAAGGCGACGAUGCGUAGCCGACCUGAGAGGGUGAUCAGCCACACUGGAACUGAGACACGGUCCAGACUCCUACGGGAGGCAGCAGUAGGGAAUCUUCCGCAAUGGGCGAAAGCCUGACGGAGCAACGCCGCGUGAGUGAUGAAGGUCUUCGGAUCGUAAAACUCUGUUAUUAGGGAAGAACAAAUGUGUAAGUAACUAUGCACGUCUUGACGGUACCUAAUCAGAAAGCCACGGCUAACUACGUG